AGCUCCAAUAGUGUAUAUUAAAGUUGCUGCGGUUAAAAAGCUCGUAGUUGGAUUUCGGAGUUGUUAUCUUAGGCUUUUAGCCCUAAAAAGCUAGGGGUCGAGGGUAGCAGUAGUCUUCAUCAUAGUCCACUGGGAUACUCUCUCAGUGUGUGCUGGGUGUUGACCUCCUUUUUUUCCGGCACUGGUGAUCAGCAAUGGUCAUCGGUUCGGAUAGUUUACUUUGAAAAAAUUAGAGUGUUCAAAGCAGGCAUAAUUGGCAUCAUGAAUACAUUAGCAUGGGAUAAUAGAAUAUGACAGUGGUCUUAUUUUGUUGGUUUCUAAGGCCAAAGUAAUGACUAAUAGGGAUAGUUGGGGCCGCUCGUAUUGAGUUGUCAGAGGUGAAAUUCUAGGAUUGACUCAAGACGAACUAAUGCGAAAGCAUUCGGCAAGGAUGUUUUCA
RNAcentral lists this ribosomal RNA (439 nucleotides) under uncultured eukaryote. RNAcentral describes it as "SSU rRNA". It matches the Rfam family "Eukaryotic small subunit ribosomal RNA", at positions 587 to 972 of the family's 1831-position model. The record is from RNAcentral.